This 156-nucleotide ribosomal RNA is filed under the name Brassica oleracea var. oleracea. RNAcentral's name for it is "rRNA 5_8S_rRNA". It matches the Rfam family "5.8S ribosomal RNA". Rfam says of the family: 5.8S ribosomal RNA (5.8S rRNA) is a component of the large subunit of the eukaryotic ribosome. It is transcribed by RNA polymerase I as part of the 45S precursor that also contains 18S and 28S rRNA. Functionally, it is thought that 5.8S rRNA may be involved in ribosome translocation. The record is from RNAcentral. Lineage: Eukaryota; Viridiplantae; Streptophyta; Magnoliopsida; Brassicales; Brassicaceae.
UAAACUCGGCAACGGAUAUCUCGGCUCUCGCAUCGAUGAAGAACGUAGCGAAAUGCGAUACUUGGUGUGAAUUGCAGAAUCCCGUGAACCAUCGAGUCUUUGAACGCAAGUUGCGCCCCAAGCCUUCUGGCCGAGGGCACGUCUGCCUGGGUGUUA